This 470-nucleotide ribosomal RNA is filed under the name uncultured microorganism. RNAcentral describes it as "bacterial SSU rRNA". It matches the Rfam family "Bacterial small subunit ribosomal RNA", at positions 9 to 444 of the family's 1533-position model. The record is from RNAcentral.
GAGUUUGAUCGUGGCUCAGGACGAACGCUGGCGGCGUGCCUAAUACAUGCAAGUCGAGCGAGUCUGCCUUGAAGAUCGGAGUGCUUGCACUCUGUGAAACAAGAUACAGGCUAGCGGCGGACGGGGUGAGUAACACGUGGGUAACCUGCCCAAGAGAUCGGGAUAACACCUGGAAACAGAUGCUAAUACCGGAUAACAACAGAUGAUGCCUAUCAACUGUUUAAAAGAUGGUUCUGCUAUCACUCUUGGAUGGACCUGCGGUGCAUUAGCUAGUUGGUAGGGUAACGGCCUACCAAGGCGAUGAUGCAUAGCCGAGUUGAGAGACUGAUCGGCCACAUUGGGACUGAGACACGGCCCAAAACUCCUACGGGAGGCAGCAGUAGGGAAUCUUCCACAAUGGACGCAAGUCUGAUGGAGCAACGCCGCGUGAGUGAAGAAGGGUUUCGGCUCGUAAAGCUCUGUUGUUGGUG